UAUGCCAAACUUUUUAUGAGAGAGUAGACCCAAACUCUAGAACCAUGCUAGAGUCAAUGUGUUAGGGCUAGUUUAUGCAUAAAGAAGCCAAUGAAGCCUGGCAAUUCUUAGAGGACCUAGCAGAAAAGAGUCUGCAGUGGGAAGCAACUAGGAAACCUACAAGAGGUGCUAUGCACCAAGUAUCCACAUCCCUAGCUACAGAGGCCAAAAUAGAUACUAUACUACAUAGGUUAGAGGCCUU
RNAcentral lists this long non-coding RNA (241 nucleotides) under Elaeis guineensis (African oil palm). Its description in RNAcentral is "long non-coding RNA (EGUI_LNC010053)". Lineage: Eukaryota; Viridiplantae; Streptophyta; Magnoliopsida; Arecales; Arecaceae. The record is from RNAcentral.